GCCUACGGCCAUACCACCCUGAAAGCGCCCCGAUCUCGUCUGAUCUCGGAAGCUAAGCAGGGACGGGCUUGGUUAGUACCUGGAUGGGAGAACCGCCUGGGAAUACCAGGUGUUGUAGGCU
This 121-nucleotide ribosomal RNA is filed under the name Xenopus tropicalis (tropical clawed frog). The record is from RNAcentral. Lineage: Eukaryota; Metazoa; Chordata; Amphibia; Anura; Pipidae.